RNAcentral lists this ribosomal RNA (495 nucleotides) under uncultured bacterium. Its description in RNAcentral is "partial 16S ribosomal RNA". It matches the Rfam family "Bacterial small subunit ribosomal RNA", at positions 28 to 507 of the family's 1533-position model. The record is from RNAcentral.
GACGAACGCUGGCGGCGUGCCUAAUACAUGCAAGUAGAACGCUGAAGGAGGAGCUUGCUUCUCCGGAUGAGUUGCGAACGGGUGAGUAACGCGUAGGUAACCUGCCUGGUAGCGGGGGAUAACUAUUGGAAACGAUAGCUAAUACCGCAUAACAGUAGAUGUUGCAUGACAUUUGCUUAAAAGGUGCAAUUGCAUCACUACCAGAUGGACCUGCGUUGUAUUAGCUAGUUGGUGAGGUAACGGCUCACCAAGGCGACGAUACAUAGCCGACCUGAGAGGGGGGUCGGCCACACUGGGACUGGGAACCGGCCCAGGCUCCUAAGGGAGGCAGCAGGAGGGAAUCUUCGGCAAUGGACGGAAGGCUGACCGAGCAACGCCGCGUGAGUAAAGAAGGGUUUCGGAUCGUAAAGCUCUGUUGUAAGAGAAGAACGAGUGUGAGAGUGGAAAGUUCACACUGUGACGGUAUCUUACCAGAAAGGGACGGCUAACUACGUG